RNAcentral lists this long non-coding RNA (362 nucleotides) under Arachis ipaensis. RNAcentral's name for it is "long non-coding RNA (AIPA_LNC001659)". Lineage: Eukaryota; Viridiplantae; Streptophyta; Magnoliopsida; Fabales; Fabaceae. The record is from RNAcentral.
UAUUAAGAAUAUAUUUUAAUUUUUUUGAAAAUAUUUUUCAACAUUAUAAAAUGCUGUGUUUGAAGACUUCAUGAUCUCAUCUUGAGACUUGAGUCAACUUAUUAUAAUAGGUAUAGUUUAUUACAACAAUGGUGGUCAGUUUCUCCAUGCUUGAAGAAGUGAACAAUUACCAUCACUCUGAAACAACUCAUCAAUGGCGAAGAAGCUUUCACAACAAUAAUGGCGGUGAUGACGACGAUGACGACGACGACAAUGGGGUUGAUAUAGCACCAGCAGCAUAGUUUCUUUUUGGAAACCAUACACAUCAAAGAUUAUUAUUGAUCAGUAAGAUUAUAGAGAGAGUAGUGCAUUCUGAAUGNNNN